GGGGGGGGGGGGGGGCGGGGCGUGGGGGGGCAGGGCGAGCGGCGGGGCGGGGGCGGGCGCCUGGGGGCGAGUGGCGGACGGGUGAGGAAGACAUCGGAAGAUGUGCUGGGGUGGGGGAGAGCCCGGCGAAAGCCGGAGUAAUACCGCAUACGAUCUCCGGGAGAAGGCGGGGGACCGUCGGGCGCCGCGCGAGGGGGUGGGCCGAUGGCUGAUUAGCGAGUUGGUGGGGUAAAGGCCUACCAAGGCGACGAUCAGCAGCUGGUCUGAGCGGACGACCAGCCACACUGGGACUGAGACACGGCCCAGACUCCUACGGGAGGCAGCAGUGGGGAAUUUUGGACAAUGGGCGAAAGCCUGAUCCAGCAAUGCCGCGUGUGUGAAGAAGGCCUUCGGGUUGUAAAGCACUUUUGUCCGGAAAGAAAUCCUUGGCCCUAAUACGGUCGGGGGAUGACGGUACCGGAAGAAUAAGCACCGGCUAACUACGUG
Molecule: ribosomal RNA, 486 nt
Filed under: uncultured bacterium
Lineage: Bacteria
Description: partial 16S ribosomal RNA
Rfam family: Bacterial small subunit ribosomal RNA
Source: RNAcentral